CAGUAGCCACGGUAAUACGAAGGGGGCUAGCGUUGCUCGGAAUUACUGGGUUUAAAGGGUGCGUAGGUGGGCAGGUAAGUCAGUGGUGAAAUCUCCGGGCUUAACCCGGAAACUGCCGUUGAUACUAUCUGUCUUGAAUGUAGUGGAGGUGAGCGGAAUAUGUCAUGUAGCGGUGAAAUGCUUAGAUAUGACAUAGAACACCCAUUGCGAAGGCAGCUCGCUACGCUAUUAUUGACACUGAUGCACGAAAGCGUGGGGAUCAAACAGGAUUAGAUACCCGCGUAGUCCCUGUCUCUUAUAC
RNAcentral lists this ribosomal RNA (301 nucleotides) under uncultured bacterium. RNAcentral describes it as "partial 16S ribosomal RNA". It matches the Rfam family "Bacterial small subunit ribosomal RNA", at positions 509 to 807 of the family's 1533-position model. The record is from RNAcentral.